This is a long non-coding RNA of Triticum aestivum (bread wheat), 4781 nucleotides long. RefSeq lists it as uncharacterized. The transcript is spliced from 4 exons. NCBI's taxonomy places the organism in Eukaryota, Viridiplantae, Streptophyta, Magnoliopsida, Poales, Poaceae. The record is from RefSeq and is a predicted model, not a curated record.
CCCGAUACUCGUCGUUCACCUCCCACACCUUAUCCAUUCAUCCAACCUCACACGCGCCGUCCCACCGGGCGACGCGCCCCUCCGCUGCGCUCCUCCUCCCGUUGACGCGCGCCACGCCAAGCACACCCUCGGUCGCCUCCUCUUCUUGCCCACUCCCGGCGACGAGCGCCGCGCCCAGCACGCGCCCGGCCGUCCCCUCCUCCUGCUUCCUCCUGGUGAUGCACACGGCGCCCGGCAGGGCCUGCUCCCCUGGUCCCCUGCGCCGUUGGUCGCCAGCUCAAUCUACCUCCCUCCGGCAUGGGCUGUCCCCGUAGGUUGUGUUGUGCGAGCUCUGCGCAUUAGGACCACCAAAAACAGCAGCAGACGCCGCCGGCGGCAAGACACACACACAUAGCUGGCCUUCAAGGCGCCACAGCUUGCAGUAUGCUGCACCAAAUUCAGCCGAGUGCCCGUAAGCAUGCAGCAUUUGCCCCCACCACCCCGUCCCCUUCGACCCAGACUUGGUGUUUCUACCACCCGUAGUGACGGUUGUUUCUGCUAUUGCUCCAACCAACCACGAGUUGCUCGCUUCACAGGAAACGUUACUCCUCAUAAUCCAUCACUUCAAAAUCCUAAUUAGGCAACUUUCUAUUCAUUUCAGUUGACACAUAGUUUCUCUUUCAUUCUGAACACUCCCGUGCAUCUCCUAGUGAGCCUAUGUUUUUUUAACAUCCUAGUUGUUACUGUACAAAACUAAUGCCUACUAUCAUGGAACUACUUGUGAAUAGUUGCUCCAGUUUUUAACAUGGUUGCCUAGAAUUAAAGGCAAAGUUGCUUUAAUUUUUAUGGAAUUGAUAAGCGCUUCUUCUAGUUAUCUUCAGUCUACCAUUUUUUUGUGUCAUUCACGAACUGAUUCUUACUGUCAGUGAGAUGUUUGCAACUAGUUGCUCCUGUUUUUAUCACGAGUUGCCUACAAUUACAGUUAGAGUUGCUUCAGUUACAGUUAGAAUUGUAAGCAUUCUAUCUAUAUAUUUUCAAUGAUCGAUCUGUGACGUGCUCAUUUGAAUGGAAGCUAUCUCUUGGCCAGCCGGGCGAUUAAUUUGUGUGGCAGUAUCGUCGAAUGAUUUUUUGGCCCUGCUAUUCUUGGUUGCAUAUGUUAGUUAAGAAUUUCCUUUGGAUCCUGUAUAUAGCCACAUGGUCUUCCAUUUAUUUUUGCAUGUAGUCGUCGUCUGGUUGAUGAAUAUGUAGAACAACGUGUGAUUUUGGGAAAAUUAUCACACAACAAAAACACACAGUAAAAGAUACCAUACUUGCCGUACAUAGUCUGCAUCCUUUGUUUAUGCACAAUACAUGAAAGAUGAUAUAGUUGCCUAUAAUUAACCAUACAGUUGCCUAAAACCAUGUAUCUCAUUGCCCAAUCUCAUGAACAGAAACAUUACCAAGACCACGAUUUGGCCAACAUCCAAUGGUUUUAGAUACCUUUCAAUUAAGUUUGUGUCAUAGUGGUGUGUCAAGAAUUUCUUCUCUUCGGGUGGGAUCCCUUGGUAUGAUCAUAAACACUUGCCGAAUGAUCAUAGAGGGUGGCGGGAUGGAGUUGGUAAUGGGGACAUAACUAAAACCAUGAAGUUUUUUAUGAGAUUAAGUUUAUCUGUGAACCCCUAAAAAGCAAAUAUGUGUGUGUUCUUUAUCCCUUUUUCAGGUGUCAUAGUUGCGCACAUUCAACUAUACAGUUUCCUAGAACCAUGUAUCCAGUUGCCCAAUCCUCAUGAACAGAAACAUUAUCAAGACCAUAAUUUGGCUUAUAUGUAAAGGUUUUAGAUACCUUUCAAUUAAAAUUGUGGCAUAGAGAUGCAUCAAGAAUUUCAUCUCCUCAGGUUGGAUCCCUUGGUAUGAUCAUAAAUACUAGGCGAAUGAUCAUAGAGGGGGGGCAGCGUGGAGCUGGUCGUGGGGACAUAACUAAAACCACGCAGUGUUUUUAGGGGAUUAACUUUAUUUGUAACCCCCUCCAAAACUGAACAUGUGUAUGUUCUUUAUCCCUUUUCUAGGUGUCAUAGUUGCCUACAAUCAACCAUAAUGUUGCACAAAAUCAUGUAUUCAGUUGCCCACAAUCAACCAUACAGUUGUCUAAAAUCAUGUAUCCAGUUGCCCACAAUCAACCAUACAGUUGUCUAAAACCAUGUAUCCAGUUACCCAAUCCUUAUGAACAAAACAAUUAUCAAGACCAUAAUUUGGCUAAUAUGAAAAGGUUUUAGAUACCUUUUCAAGUUUGUGUCAUAGAGACGCGUCAAGAAUUUAUCUCCUCAGGGUGGGAUCCCUUGGUAUGAUCAUAAAUACUUGGCGAAUAAUCAUAAAGGGGAAGCAGGGUGGAGUUGGUCAUGGAACUAAAACCGUGAACUAUUUUUAGAGGAUUAAAUUUAUCUGUGAACCCUCCAAAAAUGAAUAUGUGUAUGUUCUUUUACCCCUUUUCAGUCAUAGUUGCCCACAAUCAACAAUACAGUUGCCUAAAGCCAAGUAUCUAGUUGCCCACAAUCAAUAAAUAGUUUGCCUAAAACCAUGUAUCCAGUUGCCCAAUCCUCAUGAACAGAAACAUUACCAAGACCAUUAUUUGAUAAAUAUCUAAAGGUUUUGCAUACUUGUAAUUAUGUUUGGGUCAUAGAGGUAGAGUCAAGAUUUUAGAGGUGUAGCUAGUCAAUUGGUAGUCAUGGUACCAACUUACAAGGAUCAUCCGCUGAUAGGUAGUCAUACUAUGAAAAAAAUGAGUUACUUUCCUGUAACACUAAAGUUGCCUCUAUAGCACACAAAGUUGCUCGGAAAAAAAGUUUGUUGAAACCUACUCAUAUGGGAUCUAGUUUUGAAGAACUCGUCGCGAGAAACCCAACGGUGAAAACGGAUCUGAAUUUUGACACCCGAAUCAAAAGUUACAACUUUUUAAAGUUUUUGAUCCCAUAAUAAAUGCAGGUGGGAUAUAUAACGUUGAGCACAUGGGACAUGACGUUUUCCUUUUCCAGGUGUUCCUGCGGGACGCGUGGGUGCUCUUUCCUAUUAUGGGAGAGUGCUCGCUCCCCCGACUAGGCGCUCGGGCGCCGCCUAGUCGCGUCCAAAAAAAAUAUCCUUUUGACUUCUUUUCAAAAAAGACAAAUUUUUGACUAAAAUAGUAUGAAUAGUGACCUAUAAUAGCAAAUAAAUUUUGUCUUUUUUGCUGUGAGGUCAACUUUUGUUUUUUUUUCGUCGACAUUUAUAUAUCAAUGCAAAAGUAAGUCAAGUGUUUUGUCAAAAUAUUCUUACCUAUUUUGACUUUUUAUUAAAAUAUUAAAAAGAAAUCCCCAUAUAGGUGCAUAUACAACCAGGAACCAAAGUGUAUUUCCAAUAAAGCCGUGGCCAACUCAAUCUCUCCAUGACCAGGACAUGCAACCAAUUAGGAACUGAGGAGAGAGGAGGACAUGCAACCAAUGGAGACCGGAGCCCUCAAUUUACUAUGUUUUCCAGCAGAAAUCGCUAUGCGCACCCGGACGUGUACCUGGCCACAUCCCCCACUAAAGCACGUGUCGCCCACCUAUUGGUCCGAUUUUGGCUGAUAAGAAAAGUCAAAAAAACCUGGUAAACUAAACCUGGCCAGGUUUAGUAUAUUUAGAAUAUAUAGAGAGAAAAUCAAAUCUUUGGUAUUAAAUCAAUGUAUACCAGCUAAUGGAAAUGCCUUCCUGAUUUUUUAUAGAUUUUUAGCCGGAAUUGUUUGGUUUCCAGAAGUGUAGUAUCCUCCUUUUCUUGCCAAUGACCACCUGCCUAAGUAUAACUUGAUUUCCACCGAAUAUUCCCUCCCCCGAGCCACGGCUAACUUGAUUUCUUGCCAAUGACCAGCUGCAGCAAAGAGGAUCCAAACAGACCCACCAGCACUCGACUUACAGCCCGCAAGUAGCCCACCAGCCCACUGCCUAUCGAUGGACUGGACUCGUGAUGGGCUGAUGCCUGAUGGCCAUCGAAGGAAGACGAGAUGAAGAAAACUACACACUUCUCAAAAAAAAAAAAAAAAAAAACUACACCGCCUUUCCUCAAACAAAAAAAAAAAGGCGCCCCGCCGCCCCCACCCCUCAUCGCGGUUCGCCGCCGCAGGCCCUUCGGCCGCGCGCCGCGGCAGCCGGUGCAGCAAGAAGCGGCGGCGGCGGUGGUUGUCGUGGCGGAAGAAGGUUAUGAAGAACAGGAACGGGCGGAGAAGGAUGAUUAUUGCAGAGGGAUUUAGGGGUUAACGAGCCGGAGGAAGCAACCCGCGGCGGGCAACGCGUACGGGUGGAGGAACCACAUGCGCGCGCCAUCCAGUCCAAAUUGCUCGUCGCCAACAUCCAAGAUAGAGAAGAGGGUGAGGGGCUGACGGCGAUGAUCACUUGAUCGGACUUGCCGGUGCUUUUGCAAAGGAUGUGGAGCUGUUCUUCAAGAGCAGGCCUAACUGAUAAACUAUGUUGAGGUGAAAUGUAGAUGUUAUCAAGCCGUUGUUGAUUGAACUGCUAGGUGCAAGCAGGCCUCAAAUUCGACUUCUGAUGAGUACUGAACUGGCAACCGAAUCACUAGGACUAACACCUUGGCCGUGUUUGAGUGCUGCUAGGCCUCGAUAUGAUGGACAGCUGGAUAUUGAUGGCAGUUGGAAAUGCCGACGCCAGGUGCUGACGCAAGGCUGGUUAGAUCACCAGCUACAUUUUUCUUUUCUAUUGUUUAACGCAUAAGUUAUCUCCUCAGCAUGUGUAUUAGUUUAAAUUGUGUUAGAGCUUUUGUAGGUUUGAAGAAUGUUAACGAGCAUGUUAUCCCCGACUUUU